This 253-nucleotide ribosomal RNA is filed under the name uncultured bacterium. Its description in RNAcentral is "partial 16S ribosomal RNA". It matches the Rfam family "Bacterial small subunit ribosomal RNA", at positions 524 to 776 of the family's 1533-position model. The record is from RNAcentral.
UACAGAGGGUGCGAGCGUUAAUCGGAAUUACUGGGCGUAAAGGGCGCGUAGGCGGUUAAUUAAGUUAGAUGUGAAAUACCCGGGCUUAACCUGGGAGUGGCAUAUAAUACUGAUUAGCUAGAGUAGAGUAGAGGGAAGUGGAAUUUCCGGUGUAGCGGUGAAAUGCGUAGAUAUCGGAAAGAACACCAGUGGCGAAGGCGGCUUUCUGGACUCAUACUGACGCUGAGGCGCGAAAGCAUGGGGAGCAAACAGG